CCAGACUCCUACGGGAGGCAGCAGUGGGGAAUAUUGCACAAUGGGGGAAACCCUGAUGCAGCAACGCCGCGUGAGUGAAGAAGUAUUUCGGUAUGUAAAGCUCUAUCAGCAGGGAAGAAGAUGACGGUACCUGAUUAAGAAGCCCCGGCUAACUACGUGCCAGCAGCCGCGGGAAUACGUAGGGGGCAAGCGUUAUCCGGAUUUACUGGGUGUAAAGGGAGCGCAGACGGCAGUGCAAGUCUGGAGUGAAAGCCCGGGGCCCAACCCCGGAACUGCUCUGGAAACUGUGCGGCUAGAGUUCUGGAGGGGCAGGCGGAAUUCCUAGUGUAGCGGUGAAAUGCGUAGAUAUUAGGAGGAACACCAGUGGCGAAGGCGGCCUGCUGGACAGUAACUGACGUUGAGGCUCGAAAGCGUGGGGAGCAAACAGGAUUAGAUACCCCGGUAAC
This 446-nucleotide ribosomal RNA is filed under the name uncultured bacterium. Its description in RNAcentral is "bacterial SSU rRNA". It matches the Rfam family "Bacterial small subunit ribosomal RNA", at positions 331 to 794 of the family's 1533-position model. The record is from RNAcentral.